GCCGCCGCCAUGGCCCCGCCUGCACCGGGCGGGCCCGGGAAGGGUUUUCCGGAGUUUCGGCGGAGGAAGGUGGCCUGUGCCCACUCAAGUUUUGUGCAAACCCGCAGCUGACGAACCCCGACGUUAGUAGUUGUCUGUGUUCAUAGUCACGAGGAACUCUGAAAUUCCCAUGACAAAGGCUGGGACUGCAGAUUCCCGUUUCCAGGCCAGAAACGCGUAGUUGGGUGUAAACCACCCCUGUUGUAACCUUCCCUCUCCGGGGAGUUUCCGAGCAGGCAGCGAGGACUAUAAGAGUGGGACUCGGGCACGGGCAGGGCAGAAGCCAUUGAGCGAGCCUGGAGCACUGCACGCAUGGAGGCUGCACUGGCAGACAAAACGGACAGCUUUUCCUCUUCCAGUGCAGACGUGGACAGGGGACUUGGCCCCGCCGUCUGCUUCCAUGGGUAGAGCCCACAGCCAGCUGUGAGAUGAAGGAUUGAGACCUCGCUGACACUUCUUCUUUCUCCUCUUGCACUGCCCUCCACCCACCAGAGGAAGCCAAGCAUGGAGGGGGGCCAGCCUCAGCUCUGCUUGGAAAGGAAGCAGGAGGGAGACAGCUGGAGGUCAGCGAGAGCUGGCAACAACAUUAUCUACACUGCAGCUGGCGUGGGACACUUCUGCUGGCAAAGAGGAGCUCUGCCAUCCCUCCUCUCCCAGGAGUGUUUCAUGGUUGGGAGGUACCAAAUAACUCCCGUAAAAUGCUGUCCCAGGUACGCUCUGCUUCACACUGCCAAUUCUGGGACAGGAAUUUUGGUAUUUCUGCAACAACCUUACUGUCUUGUCCAAAACAACAAAAUAAACAAAGCUGUGUCUAUCUUG
This is a long non-coding RNA of Lonchura striata (white-rumped munia), 858 nucleotides long. RefSeq lists it as uncharacterized. NCBI's taxonomy places the organism in Eukaryota, Metazoa, Chordata, Aves, Passeriformes, Estrildidae. The record is from RefSeq and is a predicted model, not a curated record.